Molecule: RNA transcript, 3158 nt
Organism: Orcinus orca (killer whale)
Lineage: Eukaryota; Metazoa; Chordata; Mammalia; Artiodactyla; Delphinidae
Gene: PSPC1
Gene name: paraspeckle component 1
Exons: 13
Source: RefSeq, a predicted model, not a curated record
CCGCGGCUGUGGCGGCGCCAUCUUGGGCGAGCGGCCGGGGCGUGAGUGCGGGCGGCGAGCUGGCGGCGUACCCGAGCGCGUCCUUCCCGACCCCGGUUCCGUGCGCGGACAUCGACACGCAGGUCGAGCUCUAGGCCGGGUCCGGGGGGGCACGCGCUGAGAUGAUGCUGAGAGGAAACCUGAAGCAAGUGCGCAUCGAGAAGAACCCGGCGCGCCUCCGCGCUCUAGAGUCGGCGGCCGGCGAGGGCGAGCCGGCGGCCAUGGCGCUCGCCCUUCCCGGCGAGCCGCCCGCGCCCGCCGUGCCCGCCGAGGACCGGCCGGCCGAGGAGGGCGGCUUCACCAUCGACAUCAAGAGCUUCCUCAAGCCGGGCGAGAAGACAUACACGCAGCGCUGCCGCCUCUUCGUGGGGAACCUGCCCACGGACAUCACCGAGGACGACUUCAAGCGGCUGUUUGAGCGCUACGGCGAGCCCAGCGAGGUGUUCAUCAACCGCGACCGCGGCUUCGGCUUCAUCCGCCUGGAGUCCAGAACACUGGCUGAAAUUGCAAAAGCAGAGCUGGACGGCACCAUUCUGAAGAGCAGACCUCUCCGAAUUCGUUUUGCUACACAUGGAGCAGCCUUAACUGUCAAGAACCUCUCUCCGGUUGUCUCCAAUGAGCUUCUGGAGCAAGCAUUUUCCCAGUUUGGUCCAGUAGAGAAAGCUGUGGUUGUCGUGGAUGACCGUGGUAGAGCUACAGGAAAAGGCUUUGUGGAAUUUGCAGCAAAACCUCCUGCACGAAAGGCUCUGGAGAGAUGUGGUGAUGGGGCAUUCUUGCUAACAACGACCCCUCGUCCAGUCAUUGUGGAGCCCAUGGAGCAGUUUGAUGAUGAAGAUGGCUUGCCAGAGAAGCUAAUGCAGAAAACUCAGCAGUAUCAUAAGGAAAGAGAACAGCCGCCGCGUUUUGCUCAGCCUGGGACAUUUGAAUUUGAGUAUGCAUCUCGCUGGAAGGCUCUGGAUGAAAUGGAGAAGCAGCAGCGCGAGCAGGUUGAUAGAAACAUCCGAGAAGCCAAAGAGAAACUGGAGGCGGAAAUGGAAGCGGCCCGGCACGAGCACCAGCUGAUGCUCAUGCGGCAAGAUUUAAUGAGGCGUCAAGAGGAACUCAGACGCUUAGAAGAACUCAGAAACCAAGAGCUGCAAAAACGGAAGCAAAUACAACUGAGGCAUGAAGAAGAGCACCGUCGUCGUGAAGAGGAAAUGAUCCGACACAGAGAACAGGAGGAGCUGAGGCGACAGCAGGAGGGCUUUAAGCCAAACUAUAUGGAAAAUAGAGAACAGGAAAUGAGAAUGGGUGAUAUGGGUCCCCGUGGAGCAAUAAACAUGGGAGAUGCGUUUAGCCCAGCACCUGCUGGUAACCAAGGUCCUCCUCCAAUGAUGGGUAUGAAUAUGAACAACAGAGGAACUAUACCUGGCCCACCAAUGGGUCCUGGUCCUGCCAUGGGGCCAGAAGGAGCUGCAAAUAUGGGAACUCCAAUGAUGCCAGAUAAUGGAGCAGUGGAGAAAAGAAAACAUGGAUGAAGCUACCUGAAAUUUGGUUUCCGGGGUGAACCGAAGUCGAGAGACAGGAAACGCUGGAGUCUCCCUUCAGCUGUGGUCCUGGGAGCCAGGAGCAUCAGCCUUUCCUGAGAGCUGCUCGCAAGGUGAGAAUCUCGGUACACACGGGCUCAUCGAAUCAGACCGCCCAGUUUAACGUGGUUCCAGGGGAUGUGCGUCCACACUGAGUGAGAAGCACUGAUAGCUCUAGAAAAUUAACGUUGGGUCGUGGUUCUCAAAGCUGGUCCCUGGAUCCGCAUCACUGUCACCUGGAAACUUGUUGAAAAUGCAGAUUCCCAGCCCAGUAGCAAGGCUCUUCUGUACCAGGAGGGAGCAGUCAGGCCUGGAAAUCCCAGAUUUUGUUGGAAAGGAACACCGUCUGCAGCUUCCCUGCUUAGAGCACCGAGGAUGAGAGGAGAAGAAGAGGUCCGCGGAGGACAGAGGCUCUUCUUGUUUUCCCCUCAGCUCCACUGUGAAAACGCAGCUGUGUCCCCGUGACUGUAGAGCAGAACAGGCAGUGGAACCUCGUCAGACAGCCUGUGGGGAUGGCCGUCCGCAGUGAAAUCCUAUUAGAAAACACUUUGACGAAGGUCAUGUUUCUAUUCCUGCCGACCACGGUGAGUGGUAUCCAGCAGAGGAAUGGUCGUCCUUCGUCAGCUCUAGUCGGACUGAGAAAUACUUGAUCCAUACGGAGAAUAUGACACAACGGACCCUAAUCAAGUUCCUGGUGCUUGUUUCAUGGUAUCAGUAUAAUUGUUUCUCUUCAUUUCUUCAGAGCCACACACCCCUCAACAGACCAAGGUCAGUGUUUGUCAAACUUGAGUGCUUUCAGGUCACCCAAGAUCUCACCAAGGUGCUGGCUGAGAGUCCUGGUCUGGGUGAGGCUCUGAGAGGAGACCACACUCUGAGUCCCGAGGGUCAGGAAAAUCUACCAGGAUCUCACAUCUGAGGACGACAGGGCAUCUUUGGAAAAAACCGCUAGUGGAUGCAUAUAUUGUGCACGUGCAAAAACAGCCAUACGUAACCCAGGACUGUCCAGCUGAACCGAAGCACUGGUGUGGAGGUGGGUGACCGGCCAGUUCACGGACUCAGCUCACCAGCUCAUGCCUGGCAGUGCAGACGGUCCACUUGGACUGUCAAGACCACAGUUCGCUAUCACUGAGAUGUUGUGAAUGGCUGGCUUUGACUGGUAGAGCUAUAUUUUCUUCAACUAAAUUUCCAUUAACAAAUAGGUAUUUUUCAAACAGGUGGGUUGUUUUUUUUUAAAAUAAAACAAGCCAGAACCCCGUUUCCUACCUUUCCUCCACUCUGUAUACGGAGCACCCGUGUCCUGGAGGAGGGGCCGUGGCCAUGGUCUCUACCUACCAAGUAGCUGUUAAGCAGAAACUAGGAAGCAGACAGAACUGAAGUUCUAUCUCUUGCUACUAAACUGUACUAUGGGACAAGACGUUUUCAUUUUUCUUUGUCUUUUUAAAAGGGCAAGACUAUUAGUGAUAAUAAAAUUCAGGGAAAAUACUGAUUUUGGGCUUAUCAUCUUGAAAGCUAAAUUUUAAUAAAAGUCAAUUUUAAUAAAAACUAGUAUAAUUA